GAAAAAUUAAGCCUCUCUCCACUUUAAUUCAGUUCCCGCUUAGGGCGUGAGCUCGCACACAAGACACUAGUGUUUAUACCCGUUACUCGUAGAGUAAAAGGGUGUACUAGAUUCGUUGGAAAGUAUGUGACAGUGGUGUUCGAUGCCCUUUAGCAAAGUGUAGAUGCUCGUCACCUUCCGGGGAUCAGGUUCCCUGGCCCUGCUGGACAAUCUGGCUCACCAGCCAUUGAUGGCUACGAGAGCCGCUUAGAUGCAGAGCAGAAUCACAAAUGAGCUUUGGAGGAGGCUGUACAACUGCCACUACAACAAGUCUGCGGAAAUGAUCCUCUGGGGAUCCACUGGCUUCCGCCGCUGCUGCGGAGAUCUGCUGGAAUCCGGAGACGAUGGCCGGUCUACAACUUGUAUCUGAAGUUCUUGUCCCCGCUUAAGGAGCGCGAAGGACUACAUUUGCGAGUGCUGCUUUCGUCCGUGACCCUCGGGGCAUUAUACGCAUGAGGACUUGCUUUUGCAGCCCGAGGAGAGUAUCAAGCUGGUAUUUCGAUUUCUACGGUUUGCCUUUAAGGAGACCCAAGACCAGCUCUCGAGGAGUGCAUCCGCGCAGUGCAUCCUUGGGUGGGGACCUUCGUUGGAGGUAUUUCAACCAGCCCGCCCACGAGUGGAUGUGCAAAAUGAAGGUUGCCGAUAUAAAGGCUGUGCAGGGGCCAUGGACUUGUGGGGCUAU
Drosophila subpulchrella is the source of this 721-nucleotide long non-coding RNA. RefSeq lists it as uncharacterized. Lineage: Eukaryota; Metazoa; Arthropoda; Insecta; Diptera; Drosophilidae. The transcript is spliced from 3 exons. The record is from RefSeq and is a predicted model, not a curated record.